GCGAGAGCGAGCCCCGUGCUUCUGCACGGGAGCAAGCGCGCCAUCCUUGUGUUGUGUGUGGUGAUGUGUGUGCACGCAAGUGCACAUGCGCACAUUUUCACCCGAUUCAUGUCAUUCUGAUCAACUGCUCGUAUGAGCACAAACAACCGA
Molecule: unclassified non-coding RNA, 150 nt
Filed under: uncultured fungus
Lineage: Eukaryota; Fungi
Description: sequence contains ITS1, 5.8S rRNA gene
Source: RNAcentral